UGAUGAGACGUCUCCGGAAUCGCUGCACCUCCGUGAUGAUGCUCUUGAACCCUUGAUCUCUGAUGGCCGCGACCGUUCC
RNAcentral lists this small nucleolar RNA (79 nucleotides) under Acanthisitta chloris (rifleman). RNAcentral's name for it is "Small nucleolar RNA MBII-202". It matches the Rfam family "Small nucleolar RNA MBII-202". Rfam says of the family: MBII-202 is a member of the C/D class of snoRNA which contain the C (UGAUGA) and D (CUGA) box motifs. Most of the members of the box C/D family function in directing site-specific 2'-O-methylation of substrate RNAs. The record is from Rfam by way of RNAcentral. Lineage: Eukaryota; Metazoa; Chordata; Aves; Passeriformes; Acanthisittidae.